RNAcentral lists this ribosomal RNA (1337 nucleotides) under uncultured bacterium. Its description in RNAcentral is "bacterial SSU rRNA". It matches the Rfam family "Bacterial small subunit ribosomal RNA", at positions 37 to 1379 of the family's 1533-position model. The record is from RNAcentral.
UGGCGGCGUGCAUAACACAUUCAAGUCGAACGGGGUUAUGGAGGUGCUUGCACUGACAUAACUUAGUGGCGGACGGGUGAGUAAUGCAUGAGCAACCUGCCUCGAAGAGUGGAAUAACACAUGGAAACGUGUGCUAAUACCGCAUAAUGUAUACGGAGGGCAUCCUCUGUAUAAGAAAGGGGAAACCCGCUUUGAGAUGGGCUCAUGUCUGAUUAGGUAGUUGGUGAGGUAACGGCCCACCAAGCCUGCGAUCAGUAGCCGGACUGAGAGGUUGAACGGCCACAUUGGGACUGAGAUACGGCCCAGACUCCUACGGGAGGCAGCAGUGGGGAAUAUUGGGCAAUGGGGGAAACCCUGACCCAACAACGCCGCGUGAAGGAAGAAGGCCCUCGGGUUGUAAACUUCUUUUACCAGGGACGAAGGACGUGACGGUACCUGGAGAAAAAGCAACGGCUAACUACGUGCCAGCAGCCGCGGUAAUACGUAGGUUGCAAGCGUUGUCCGGAUUUACAGGGCUGUAAAGGGCGUGUAGGCGGAGAUGCGAGUUGGGAGUGAACUCCCGGGGCUCAACCCCCGGAACUGCUUUCAAAACUGCAUCCCUUGAGUAUCGGAGAGGCAAGCGGGAAUUCCUAGUGUAGCGGUGAAAUGCGUAGAUAUUAGGAGGAACACCAGUGGCGAAGGCGGCUUGCUGGACCGACAACUGACGCUGAGGGCGCGAAAGCGUGGGGAGCAAACAGGAUUAGAUACCCUGGUAGUCCACGCUGUAAACGAUGAAUACUAGGUGUGGGGGGACUGACCCCCUCCGUGCCGCAGUUAACACAAUAAGUACUCCACCUGGGGAGUACGACCGCAAGGUUGAAACUCAAAGGAAUUGACGGGGGCCCGCACAAGCAGUGGAUUAUGUGGUUUAAUUCGACGCAACGCGAAGAACCUUACCAGGACUUGACAUCCAACUAACGAAGUAGAGAUACAUUAGGUGCCCUUCGGGGAAAGUUGAGACAGGUGGUGCAUGGUUGUCGUCAGCUCGUGUCGUGAGAUGUUGGGUUAAGUCCCGCAACGAGCGCAACCCCUAUUGUUAGUUGCUACGCAAGAGCACUCUAGCGAGACUGCCGUUGACAAAACGGAGGAAGGCGGGGACGACGUCAAAUCAUCAUGCCCCUUAUGUCCUGGGCUACACACGUAAUACAAUGGCCAUCAACAAAGGGAAGCAAUACCGCGAGGUGGAGCAAAUAACCAAAAAUGGUCUCAGUUCGGAUUGCAGGCUGCAACUCGCCUGCAUGAAGCUGGAAUUGCUAGUAAUCGUAAAUCAGCAAGCCACGGUGAAUACGUUCCCGGGC